UGUUGUGUGGUUAAAUUGGUUAAGGCACCGGACUUGCGAUACGAAGUCGUGGGUUCGAAUCCCACCAAAACAA
This is a non-coding RNA of Aedes albopictus (Asian tiger mosquito), 73 nucleotides long. NCBI's taxonomy places the organism in Eukaryota, Metazoa, Arthropoda, Insecta, Diptera, Culicidae. The record is from Rfam.